RNAcentral lists this ribosomal RNA (609 nucleotides) under Limnebius cordobanus. RNAcentral's name for it is "partial 16S ribosomal RNA". The stretch from base 373 to 531 matches the Rfam family "Bacterial large subunit ribosomal RNA", at positions 2473 to 2632 of the family's 2925-position model. The record is from RNAcentral. Lineage: Eukaryota; Metazoa; Arthropoda; Insecta; Coleoptera; Hydraenidae.
GUCUUUUAGAUUAUAAUUUAAAGUCUGGCCUGCCCUAUGAAAUAUUAAAUGGCCGCAGUAUUUUGACUGUGCAAAGGUAGCAUAAUAAUUAGUUUUUUAAUUGAAAGCUGGAAUGAAAGGUUGAACGAAAAAAUAUCUGUCUCAAUUUAAUUUAAUUAGAAUUUUAUUUUUUAGUAAAAAAGCUAAAAUUAAUUUUAAAGACGAGAAGACCCUAUAGAGUUUUAUAUUUUAAAUUAAUUAUUUUUUAGAAUUUAUUUUUAAUUGAAGUAUUUUGUUGGGGUGAUAAAUAAAUUUAAAAAACUUUAUUAAUUAAAAACAUUAAUUUAUGAUUUUAUGAUCCAUAAAAAUGAUUAAAGAUUAAAUUACCUUAGGGAUAACAGCGUUAUUUUUUUUUAGAGUUCUAAUCGAAAAAAAAGAUUGCGACCUCGAUGUUGGAUUAAAAUUUAUUUAUGGUGUAGAAGCUAUAAUAUUGGGUCUGUUCGACCUUUAAAAUUUUACAUGAUCUGAGUUUAAACCGGUGUGAGCCAGGUUGGUUUCUAUCUUAAAGUAAUUAAGUUAUUUUAGUACGAAAGGACCAAAUAUCUAUAAAAUUUAUUUUUUUUUGAAUAC